This is a long non-coding RNA of Balaenoptera ricei (Rice's whale), 516 nucleotides long. RefSeq lists it as uncharacterized. The transcript has 3 exons. Lineage: Eukaryota; Metazoa; Chordata; Mammalia; Artiodactyla; Balaenopteridae. The record is from RefSeq and is a predicted model, not a curated record.
AACGUCAUCCCCAGAUAGGACCUGGGAGACAGCGGCAGGCUCCAUCCAGGAGUGACGCACUCGCGGACAAACAAGCCCCCCAGCCUCUGGUCCCUCUGUGGCUUUCCUAAAGACAGGCUCGAUGACCGAGGAUUACUCACCCAGAGGAAAUCACCACUUCAAGGGCUCACAGACUCCCCUCUGGGCCUAAAUCCUCCCCCUUCUUCAGAUCCCUGCUCUAGCCCCGGCCCUCAGAAGAGGCUGUCCGACUUCCCUGAGUAGAUGCUGCCAGGAUGUAAAAAGAAGACUGCGGCCCAAUCCCUACCUUCACAGAGCUCCAACUACCAGCCCAUCAGUAUAGACCACUGGGAAACCCCAAGGCUUUGGAAACAGACAGACCUGGGUUUGCAACCUGGUACUACUGUGUGACAAGAAAACCUCUAAGGACUCAGUUUUUCCUCCCUAAAUACAGCCCUGUGCAGCUCGGACCAGCUUCACACAGACAACCUAUCAGCGCCUCGCCUCCUGCCCAGGGAU